CUCAGAAGGGAGAAUGGGCUGAGGAGAACCGCCCCAGUCUCUGUGACUGGUCUAAUGUCUAGAAUUAGAGUUGAGUCUGGCUGAUUUAGCUAAGCUUGGCCACAAUGUGGGUCAUUUGCUGUUCCAUGUCGCCUAGCCUCCUGGGAAGCCAGAAACAUUCUGUUCCUGUCCCUUUAGAUUUGAGAGUUGUAGUCUAUAAGGAAAAUCAUAGCACGAAGACGGAUGAGGGCUUAAAAGGGAUGAUGCCAGAAGCAAGAGUUUCACUUCUUCCCCUUUAGGGACCCAUCAUCUCCUCCCCAGGAGAGGCUCACAAAGGAAGGGACCACCAGGCCAACCUCUGCACUUCACGUAACAGAAAAUGCGAGUAACAAUGAGGUCACCACUCCACAUGCACGUAAGCACGCACCCACGCACGCAGGCAAGCGCGCACCACGCAUGCACGCACCACGCAUACAUGCACGCACGCUUUUCUGUUAGAGAAUGCACCUCCCGGUCUUGUCUGUCCAACUAUCUCUCUGUGGAGCUUCCAGCUUCCAGACAGUACCUAAGUUUCCUGGUACCCAGCGUCUUUGAUGACCACUUCCUCUGCUUUGCUCCUCUGACUCAGAAACAUUGAUUCUUUCAAGGGAUUCCUCUCACUUCAUGGAGGACAUUCAGAGAUGAAGGAAAAAAUGCUUUCUCUGAAGGCAUUGAGGAACAUCCCUGGGGUGUGACAGCCUGGGGACAGUAUGUACUCAGGAGUUGCUGCUAAUCCUCUUGAUCCCCACAGAUGGAGAGACCACAUCUCUUCGUCGUUUUAGAUAUGGGCUCCAGGGACACAUCAGCCAGGAUGUGUGCAGUGGGGCACGAAGGCAAGUUAAGCAGGCAGAAAAGACAUUCCUCUGUACAACAGCCUCACUUGACACUGAGCAGUAUCAAACGCCUUCUAAAGCAACAAUGUAAGCAGAGUCAAAUAUAUAACAUUGGUUUUCUACAAUCCUCUGACAGCUGCAAUCACAAGGUAACCCACAGUUACAUUGUAACUGGUGAUUACUGAAGUCAGAACAAAAGACUUAAAACUUGUGUCUUCUGUGUCCUUAUUCUCUGAUUUUUUUU
RNAcentral lists this long non-coding RNA (1095 nucleotides) under Mus spicilegus (steppe mouse). RNAcentral's name for it is "lncRNA (ENSMSIG00000007527.1)". The record is from RNAcentral. Lineage: Eukaryota; Metazoa; Chordata; Mammalia; Rodentia; Muridae.